RNAcentral lists this ribosomal RNA (255 nucleotides) under uncultured bacterium. Its description in RNAcentral is "partial 16S ribosomal RNA". It matches the Rfam family "Bacterial small subunit ribosomal RNA", at positions 524 to 776 of the family's 1533-position model. The record is from RNAcentral.
CACGUAGGGGGCAAGCGUUGUCCGGAUUUAUUGGGCGUAAAGAGCUCGUAGGCGGCUAUGUAAGUCGGGUGUUAAAUCCCCCAGGCUCAACCUGGGACACCACCCGAUACUGCAUUGGCUAGAGUCCGGUAGGGGAGCGUGGAAUUCCUGGUGUAGCGGUGAAAUGCGCAGAUAUCAGGAGGAACACCAGCGGCGAAGGCGGCGCUCUGGGCCGGAACUGACGCUGAGGAGCGGAAAGCGUGGGUAGCAAACAGG